RNAcentral lists this ribosomal RNA (500 nucleotides) under uncultured bacterium. Its description in RNAcentral is "partial 16S ribosomal RNA". It matches the Rfam family "Bacterial small subunit ribosomal RNA", at positions 30 to 523 of the family's 1533-position model. The record is from RNAcentral.
AUUGAACGCUGGCGGAAUGCUUUACACAUGCAAGUCGAACGGCAGCACGGACUUCGGUCUGGUGGCGAGUGACGAACGGGUGAGUAAUGUAUCGGAACGUGCCCAGUCGUGGGGGAUAACGUAGUGAAAAUUACGCUAAUACCGCAUACGAUCUAUGGAUGAAAGCGGGGGAUCGCAAGACCUCGCGCGAUUGGAGCGGCCGAUAUCAGAUUAGCUAGUUGGUGGGGUAAAAGCCCACCAAGGCGACGAUCUGUAGCUGGUCUGAGAGGACGACCAGCCACACUGGAACUGAGACACGGUCCAGACGCCUACGGGAGGCAGCAGGGGGGAAUUUUGGACAAUGGGCGAAAGCCUGAUCCAGCAAUGCCGCGUGCAGGACGAAGGCCUUCGGGUUGUAAACUGCUUUUGUACGGAACGAAACGGUCUCUUCUAAUAAAGGGGGCUAAUGACGGUACCGUAAGAAUAAGCACCGGCUAACUACGUGCCAGCAGCCGCGAUAA